CGAACGCUGGCGGCGCGUUUAAGCAUGCAAGUCGAGCGGCAAGGGCCUUCGGGCCCCUAGAGCGGCGGACGGGUGAGUAACACGUGGACAAUCUGCCCCCCGGCCCGGGAUAGCCCAGGGAAACCUGGAUUAAUACCGGAUGAGACGGGACCCGCGAUGGCGGGACCCGGGAAAGGCGCUGCGGCGCCGCCGGGGGAUGAGUCUGCGUCCCAUUAGCUAGACGGCGGGGUAACGGCCCACCGUGGCGACGAUGGGUAGCCGGCCUGAGAGGGUGGACGGCCACAUUGGAACUGAGACACGGUCCAGACUCCUACGGGAGGCAGCAGCUAAGAAUCUUCCGCAAUGGGCGAAAGCCUGACGGAGCCGACGCCGCGUGAACGAAGAAGGCCGUGAGGUUGUAAAGUUCUUUUCGGGAGGGGGAACAACCGUGGCAGGGAAUGGCCGCGGGAUGACGUGAAUCCCGGAAUAAGCCCCGGCUAACUACGUGCCAGCCGCCGC
RNAcentral lists this ribosomal RNA (498 nucleotides) under uncultured bacterium. RNAcentral's name for it is "bacterial SSU rRNA". It matches the Rfam family "Bacterial small subunit ribosomal RNA", at positions 30 to 518 of the family's 1533-position model. The record is from RNAcentral.